RNAcentral lists this ribosomal RNA (268 nucleotides) under Aplanochytrium sp. PBS07. Its description in RNAcentral is "partial Bacterial small subunit ribosomal RNA". It matches the Rfam family "Bacterial small subunit ribosomal RNA", at positions 1135 to 1403 of the family's 1533-position model. Lineage: Eukaryota; Bigyra; Thraustochytrida; Thraustochytriidae. The record is from RNAcentral.
GCACUCUGAAGGAACUGCCGGUGACAAGCCGGAGGAAGGUGGGGAUGACGUCAAGUCCUCAUGGCCCUUACGGGCUGGGCUACACACGUGCUACAAUGGCGGCGACAGAGGGGUGCGAAGGGGUGACCUGGAGCCAAUCCCGAAAAGCCGUCUCAGUUCGGAUUGCACGCUGCAACUCGCGUGCAUGAAGGCGGAAUCGCUAGUAAUCGCGGAUCAGCACGCCGCGGUGAAUACGUUCCCGGGCCUUGUACACACCGCCCGUCACACC